AGAACUAUAGUUUAUUAAAACAUUAAGUUGCAAACUUAAAAAUGCCUUUGGUUAGUUUUU
This 60-nucleotide transfer RNA is filed under the name Physella acuta. RNAcentral describes it as "transfert RNA-C(TGC)". The record is from RNAcentral. Lineage: Eukaryota; Metazoa; Mollusca; Gastropoda; Physidae.